AGCGAACGCUGGCGGCAGGCCUAACACAUGCAAGUCGAACGAAGUCUUCGGACUUAGUGGCGGACGGGUGAGUAACACGUGGGAACGUGCCCUUUGGUACGGAAUAACUCAGGGAAACUUGAGCUAAUACCGUAUGUGCCCUUCGGGGGAAAGAUUUAUCGCCAUUGGAGCGGCCCGCGUCUGAUUAGCUAGUUGGUGAGGUAAAGGCUCACCAAGGCUACGAUCAGUAGCUGGUCUGAGAGGAUGAUCAGCCACAUUGGGACUGAGACACGGCCCAAACUCCUACGGGAGGCAGCAGUGGGGAAUCUUGCGCAAUGGGCGAAAGCCUGACGCAGCCAUGCCGCGUGAAUGAUGAAGGUCUUAGGAUUGUAAAAUUCUUUCACCGGGGACGAUAAUGACGGUACCCGGAGAAGAAGCCCCGGCUAACUUCGUGCCAGCAGCCGCCGUAA
This 449-nucleotide ribosomal RNA is filed under the name uncultured bacterium. Its description in RNAcentral is "partial 16S ribosomal RNA". It matches the Rfam family "Bacterial small subunit ribosomal RNA", at positions 29 to 523 of the family's 1533-position model. The record is from RNAcentral.